This 315-nucleotide long non-coding RNA is filed under the name Anser brachyrhynchus (Pink-footed goose). Its description in RNAcentral is "lncRNA (ENSABRG00000008314.1)". The record is from RNAcentral. Lineage: Eukaryota; Metazoa; Chordata; Aves; Anseriformes; Anatidae.
UUUUCAGGUAGUAUAAGUUCUGAAUUUCUGUAAGCUCCUGUACGUCUUUUGAUUGGACUCAUGACCACAGCUUUAUGGCAAGGAAUUCCCCUGCCAGGCACUGGUCACGAAUGGACGCUGAUGAAUGCCACAGGCCACAUCCCGUGCCAGCAGGAGCAUGCUGAGAUUUGUGCUCUGUACUUCUGGCAACUGCUCUUAAUGGGAGAGAAGUGUCCUGAUCUCUCGGAUGUCACCACGUCACAACAGGCAACAAAGUCUUCCUUAGAUGGACUUCUGUAUAAGACAUACUUGCUUCUUUUAAUAUCCCAAAUGUAA